ACUUGGACAUAAUGGAUGCGAGUUUGUAAAACCAUCUCGCGUCCGUUCUGUUCAUGAGU
RNAcentral lists this microRNA precursor (59 nucleotides) under Ptychodera flava. RNAcentral's name for it is "Pfl-Mir-4819_pre stem-loop". The record is from RNAcentral. Lineage: Eukaryota; Metazoa; Hemichordata; Enteropneusta; Ptychoderidae.